GACGGAAGGUGCAAGCGUUGCUCGGAAUCACUGGGCGUAAAGGGUGCGUAGGCGGCUUGGUGGGUCUGGUGUGAAAGCCCCGGGCUCAGCCCGGGAAGGGCACUAGAAACUGCCGAGCUGGAGUUCUGGAGGGGAUAGCGGAAUUCCUGGUGUAGCGGUGAAAUUCGUAGAUAUUGGGUGGAACACCGGUGGCGAAAGCGGCUCUCUGGUCCGGACCUGACGCUGAGGCGCGAAAGCGUGGGGAGCAAACAGG
This 253-nucleotide ribosomal RNA is filed under the name uncultured bacterium. RNAcentral describes it as "partial 16S ribosomal RNA". It matches the Rfam family "Bacterial small subunit ribosomal RNA", at positions 524 to 776 of the family's 1533-position model. The record is from RNAcentral.